UGGAUAUUCCCUUGCACCAAAUAUAGUAGAUCCAACUCGAACAUUUGUACUGCCCAUCUCAACAGCAAGUUCAAAGUCGCCUGACAUGCCCAUUGACAGCUCACAUUGAUCUUCAGAUAUUCCAAGUGCCUCGCAAACUUCACUUCUACAUUUUGCUAAAGUCUUAAAGUUUUCAGGAGUCGAUGUAUAAUCUGGCAUUCCAAUAGUCAUCAAGCCACAGAAUUCAAGAUUAGGGCAGUUUGAAGUAACAUGUUUCACGAGUUCCAGACACCCAUCUGGUUCAACACCAGAUUUAGUUUCUUCCCCGCUUGUAUUAACUUGGAUAAAAACUUUCAAUGGCUUUCUUCCAAUGUUCGCAGCCACACGGUCAAGCUGAUUUGCAAUCUUUUCAUCAUCUACUGUCUCCACCAUAGCAAGAUUUGGCACUCCAGUUAAAAGUGGCUUGACUUUAUUGCUCUGCAAAUUCCCUAUGAAAUGCCACUCUAUAUCAUCUGGAAGCUGAGGAGCUUUCUCAAUGAGCUCUUUGACGUAAUUUUCACCGAAACAACGAUGACCGGCGUCGUAAACUUGUUUGAGGAGAGAUACUGGCUUAGUUUUGCUUACAGCCACCAGCCUUACUUGGUCCGAUCUGCGGCCACAUCGUUCAGCCACGUGUUCAAUCCGCUGAAUUACCGACCGUACUGCCGUCGCAGCGACACCAUCCGUAGCGGAAGCAGCAGCCAUUCCUGAAUCUGACGGUUCCGUCUCCAGCACUGCACUUAAUGAAUCUUUUUUCUCGCCUUUUGUUGUUU
This 791-nucleotide unclassified non-coding RNA is filed under the name Hevea brasiliensis (rubber tree). Lineage: Eukaryota; Viridiplantae; Streptophyta; Magnoliopsida; Malpighiales; Euphorbiaceae. The record is from RNAcentral.